Molecule: long non-coding RNA, 381 nt
Filed under: Phascolarctos cinereus (koala)
Lineage: Eukaryota; Metazoa; Chordata; Mammalia; Diprotodontia; Phascolarctidae
Description: lncRNA (ENSPCIG00000019143.2)
Source: RNAcentral
AGUGGGAGUCGGGCUUAUUUCAGCCCCUACGGACUUGGGGGUCGGAAUCGGAAGAAAGGGGGGAGGGCUAGCCGGUUAACCACCAGAAUCACGGAAAAGGGGUGAAGUGCCUCAGGCACGGGGGAAGGCGUUUAGUCUGGAACAUCGGGUGGCUGCCCUUGGGGCAGGAAUUGGAUGUAGACGAUUGUCAUCUCGAUGUCAUCAUGCUUCUGGAUUUCUUAUGGGAAAUGACUGGCCGAUCUCAUCUGAAAACAUCCACAUCACUGUUACCCAGAGAGUAGAAAGAGUGGCCAGAGAUCCUUUCAAUGUAGAUCCUCCUGUAAGGUGAGUGUGAGGUCCAUCUUGGGAAAAAUUGAAGGAUGCCUGCAUUAAGGAGAAACU